UCAUCAUGCCCCUUAUGAUUUGGGCUACACACGUGCUACAAUGGACAAUACAAAGGGCAGCGAAACCGCGAGGUAAGCAAAUCCCAUAAAGUUGUUCUCAGUUCGGAUUGUAGUCUGCAACUCGACUAUAUGAAGCUGGAAUCGCUAGUAAUCGUAGAUCAGCAUGCUACGGUGAAUACGUUCCCGGGUCUUGUACACACCGCCCGUCACACCACGAGAGUUUGUAACACCCGAAGCCGGUGGAGUAACCAUUUGGAGCUAGCCGUCGAAGGUGGGACAAAUGAUUGGGGUGAAGUCGUAACAAGGUAGCCGUAUCGGAA
RNAcentral lists this ribosomal RNA (320 nucleotides) under uncultured bacterium. RNAcentral describes it as "bacterial SSU rRNA". It matches the Rfam family "Bacterial small subunit ribosomal RNA", at positions 1190 to 1510 of the family's 1533-position model. The record is from RNAcentral.